RNAcentral lists this ribosomal RNA (404 nucleotides) under uncultured microorganism. Its description in RNAcentral is "bacterial SSU rRNA". It matches the Rfam family "Archaeal small subunit ribosomal RNA", at positions 330 to 743 of the family's 1478-position model. The record is from RNAcentral.
GUGCACCAGGCGAGAAACUUUACAAUGUGCGAAGCACGAUAAGGGAACUCUGAGUGCCUCCUAAGGAGGCUGUUCAGGUGUCUAAAAGCACCUGGAGUAAGGGCUGGGUAAGACCGGUGCCAGCCGCCGCGGUAACACCGGCAGCCCAGGUGGUAGCCACUUUUAUUGGGUCUAAAGCGUCCGUAGCCGGUUGAGUAAGUUCCUUGGGAAAUUUGGCUGCUCAACAGUCAAGCUUCCAGGGAAUACUGCUCGACUUGGGACUGGGAGAGGUCAGAGGUACUCCAGGGGUAGGGUGAAAUCCAUUAAUCCCUGGGGGACCACCGGUAGCGAAGGCGUCUGACCAGACCAGGUCCGACGGUGAGGGACGAAGGCUAGGGGCGCGAACCGGAUUAGAUACCCCGGUA